AACGCACAUUGCGCCCGCCAGCAUUCUGGCGGGCAUGCCUGUUCGAGCGUCAUGUCAACCCUCGGGCUGCCCCCUCUCUCCCAGGGAGGGGGGGCGUCCCGGCGUUGGGGAUCGGCCCGCCUCCAGUCGGUGCCGCCCCCGAAAUGCAGUGGCGGUCACGCCGCAGCCUCCCCCUGCGCAGUAGUACAAACCUCGCACCGGGAGCGCGGCGCGGCCACGCCGUAAAACCGGGUUUGGGGAGAGCGUGAGACGACAGUCGAGCCUCCCCCCUUCCCCCCUUCGCAGAGUUGACCUCGGAUCAGGUAGGGAUACCCGCUGAACUUAA
This 325-nucleotide unclassified non-coding RNA is filed under the name uncultured fungus. RNAcentral describes it as "partial contains 5.8S ribosomal RNA, internal transcribed spacer 2, and large subunit ribosomal RNA". The record is from RNAcentral. Lineage: Eukaryota; Fungi.